RNAcentral lists this ribosomal RNA (484 nucleotides) under uncultured bacterium. RNAcentral describes it as "partial 16S ribosomal RNA". It matches the Rfam family "Bacterial small subunit ribosomal RNA", at positions 29 to 507 of the family's 1533-position model. The record is from RNAcentral.
AGUGAACGCUGGCGGCAGGCCUAACACAUGCAAGUCGAGCGGCAGCGCGGGGGCAACCCUGGCGGCGAGCGGCGGGCGGGUGAGGAAUUCGUCGGAAUCUGCCUUUUUGUGGGGGAUAACGUAGGGAAACUUACGCUAAUACCGCAUACGUCCUACGGGAGAAAGUGGGGGACCGCAAGGCCUCACGCAGAAAGAUGAGCCGACGACCGAUUAGCUAGUUGGUGGGGUAAAGGCCCACCAAGGCGACGAUCGGUAGCUGGUCUGAGAGGAUGAUCAGCCACACUGGGACUGAGACACGGCCCAGACUCCUACGGGAGGCAGCAGUGGGGAAUAUUGGACAAUGGGCGCAAGCCUGAUCCAGCCAUGCCGCGUGUGUGAAGAAGGCCUUCGGGUUGUAAAGCACUUUUGUCCGGAAAGAAAUCCCUGGAGCUAAUACCUUCGGGGGAUGACGGUACCGGAAGAAUAAGCACCGGCUAACUUCGUG